This 492-nucleotide ribosomal RNA is filed under the name Planctomycetota bacterium. RNAcentral describes it as "bacterial LSU rRNA". It matches the Rfam family "Bacterial large subunit ribosomal RNA", at positions 1 to 484 of the family's 2925-position model. Lineage: Bacteria; Pseudomonadati; Planctomycetota. The record is from RNAcentral.
AUGUGGUCAAGCUCGUAAGGGUGCAUGGUGAAUGCCUAGGCGUCCAGAGGCGACGAAAGACGUGGUAGCCUGCGAUAAGCUCCGGGGAGCUGGCAAACAAGCUUUGAUCCGGAGAUUUCUGAAUGGGGCAACCCUGCAUCGCCGCAAGGCGGUGCAACUGGCGCACGAAUGCAUAGUGUGUCAGAGCCCACCCAGGGAACUGAAACAUCUCAGUACCUGGAGGAAAGGAAAUCAACCGAGACUCCGUCAGUAGCGGCGAGCGAACGCGGAUCUAGCCCAAACCGGGCUUCGUGCCCGGGGUUGUGGGGCCUCGAGGAGUUACAAAGGCGUGAUCAGCAGAACGGUCUGGAAAGGCCGACGAAACAGGGUGACAGUCCCGUAUGCGACGAUCAUUGCUCUCCGUUGAGAGGAUUCCCAGAGUAGCGCGGAUGUCGUGAAACUCCGCGUGAAGCCGGGGGGCCCACCCUCCAAGGCUAAGUACUACUGGACGAC